GACGAACGCUGGCGGCGUGCUUAACACAUGCAAGUCGAACGGUAAGGCCCUGCUUUUGUGGGGUGCUCGAGUGGCGAACGGGUGAGUAACACGUGAGUAACCUGCCCUUGACUUUGGGAUAACUUCAGGAAACUGGGGCCAAUACCGGAUAGGAGCUCCUGCUGCAUGGUGGGGGUUGGAAAGUUUCGGCGGUUGGGGAUGGACUCGCGGCUUAUCAGCUUGUUGGUGGGGUAGUGGCUUACCAAGGCUUUGACGGGUAGCCGGCCUGAGAGGGUGACCGGCCACAUUGGGACUGAGAUACGGCCCAGACUCCUACGGGAGGCAGCAGUGGGGAAUAUUGCACAAUGGGCGGAAGCCUGAUGCAGCAACGCCGCGUGCGGGAUGACGGCCUUCGGGUUGUAAACCGCUUUCGCCUGUGACGAAGCGUGAGUGACGGUAAUGGGUAAAGAAGCACCGGCUAACUACGUG
RNAcentral lists this ribosomal RNA (468 nucleotides) under uncultured bacterium. RNAcentral's name for it is "partial 16S ribosomal RNA". It matches the Rfam family "Bacterial small subunit ribosomal RNA", at positions 28 to 507 of the family's 1533-position model. The record is from RNAcentral.